AGAGUUUGAUCAUGGCUCAGAAUGAACGCUGGCGGCAGGCCUAACACAUGCAAGUCGAACGGAUCCUUCGGGUCUAGUGGCGCACGGGUGCGUAACGCGUGGGAAUCUGCCCUUGGGUUCGGAAUAACAGCGAGAAAUUGCUGCUAAUACCGGAUGAUGACGUAAGUCCAAAGAUUUAUCGCCCAAGGAUGAGCCCGCGUAGGAUUAGCUAGUUGGUGAGGUAAAGGCUCACCAAGGCGACGAUCCUUAGCUGGUCUGAGAGGAUGAUCAGCCACACUGGGACUGAGACACGGCCCAGACUCCUACGGGAGGCAGCAGUGGGGAAUAUUGGACAAUGGGCGAAAGCCUAAUCCAGCAAUGCCGCGUGAGUGAUGAAGGCCUUAGGUUGUAAAGCUCUUUUACCCGGGAUGAUAAUGACAGUACCGGGAGAAUAAGCUCCGGCUAACUCCGUG
This 452-nucleotide ribosomal RNA is filed under the name uncultured bacterium. Its description in RNAcentral is "bacterial SSU rRNA". It matches the Rfam family "Bacterial small subunit ribosomal RNA", at positions 8 to 507 of the family's 1533-position model. The record is from RNAcentral.